UCUUUAUUUUUUCUAUCUCCCCACGUGGCGUUUCUCGAUGAAUCAUCGGGGAGGCUAUCCAUAGAGAGACUCCACCGCCUGAGCUCCUGCCCGGUUGAUCCCCUGACUCGAGCGCCUAGCGUCGUCGGCCGGAGCAACCUCUCCCCUCCUGACCCCCCUAACCCGAGUUAGAGGCGCCACAUGAGCACCGGACGGAGGAGGCCAGCAGCCGGCGGCAGACGGCGCAAGGAUGGGGACGGCCACGUUAACCACGGGAGCGGCGGCGACAACGACGACUCUUCAUUUGGAUUUAACUUUGUUGAAGACUUGAUGAGAAUAAAUGGAGCCCUAUGCUGAAGCGAAGAACAGCAAUGGUCAAGAGCAGUUUCUGGCAGUAGAACUACUCUCCAUUGUCGUUUGGGUGCUCGCCAACGCGCUCUUGAGAGACGAAGGCCACCAAAAUUGUUUAGAAGGUCCCUGUUUUUGUUGAACAAUUCAACAAGAGGAAACUUGGGAAAAUAGUAGUGUCUGACAACUGCUACGUUGUUCUGUGCUGACACUUCUGAAUCACUUAAUGUAAUACCGGUUUACUGAAUAUUUGUAGUACCUCACAGGUGCUAGGCUGUUGUACUGAAUAUUUGUAGCACCUGGCAAGUGCUGUGCUGGGAUGUUGUCUAUUGACAGUUCUGAAUCGCUUGAUGCAAUAUGUUUUAUUGCCUAUUUGUUACUAGAAACAAAUCGGCAAAGCACAAGUAAUGUGUAAUACUAGCAUACCUCCCAUUUGUAAAGCAUGAUUUUGUGGUACUACUAGCAUACCUGAAAUUCAUACAAUCUUUUUAAGCCCAUGAAUGUAACGAUCAGCAAUAUGGUUGAGAAAAAUGAAUCAAUGCACUAUUUAAACUUUGUUUCAUGUUUUUUGUCAAAAGUAGCCAACACAGUUUACCUUACUCAAAAUACCCUUCCAAGCUAGAUAUAUAAUAUGUUAUUUGUUCUCUAUCACACAUUCACGUCAUUGUUGUAGUUUAACAUAGAAGCAUCAUUUUUUCUUCAACUCCUGGCUACCUCGAUGGCGUGGCGUGCCGCAGCGCCUUUCUUUGCUAGUACUAUACUAAUUCGUGAACAGCCUCAAUUUUUUACAGAAUUUUGGGCCUCCUUGGGGAUUAACGUGGUUGCGACACCUGUUAUACUAAUUGAGUUGAUUUCUUUCUGUGUACACGUUCAGUGCUCUGUAAAACUUCGUCUCUUUACCUUUCUUCGUACUACUUCAAUGUGGGCUGUUUUUGGUGUUUUGGCGUGUGGCUGUAGCAUUGCCAAAAGUAGUCAGAGCGGUGUGCAGGUUCCCACGGUGAAUAAUCCAAAGCUCCGCCGUUUAUCGAGACCGACCACCCAGUUUGCAUUCCUCCUUGCGGCCACAUGGCCGGAGCGCUGCCCCGCAACCCUCUCUCUAGCCACGCCCAGUGCCACCGCACGGCGCCACGGCUCCGGCGCCUCCCCAUCUUCAGUUUCCCGCAAACGCGAUGCGAGCCUGUGAAACCCUAGACCCAUCCUAGGCUUGGUCGCUGGCACACUGCACUUCGCCUGCAACUACUCAUCGACCUCCUCGAGCCACGGCCGGUUCGUCUUCUCUUCCGUGGAGCUCCCUUGUGUACUGGCUUCGUCCUGUUAGACCUUCUCUGGUUGGAGGCCGAGCCCGCGUUAUCGCGGCGAAGAAGCACACUCGCCACUCGGCCGUCUUGCUUUCCCUGGUGGCCGUCGCGUGUGCCUCCUCGCCGAAGGUGCCGAGUAAAUUGAGGGAGCAACACGUCCCCUCCCCUUCCGGCACCGUGCAAGUGGGAUGCUUCUCCCCAGUUCUUCCUUCUCUCUCCCAAGAUGUGGAUCGAAAAAAUGAUAUGGGGGCUCUCGAGCUCCGGCGAGAAGAAAGGGGUGGGCGGUGCAGCACAAAUCCAAGUGCACUUGCCAGGGCGGCCGGCGCAGGCGCAACAGGUUUGUGACUUUGUUACUGUAGCGCUGCGGCCCAAGAUCUUGACUGCCGGUGGCGGUCGCUCGACAGUAUGGGGCUUGCCACACCACAGGCGGGUGGGGGACGGGAGUCUCCGCUGGGUUCAGGGUGCUGCAGCGGAUUGCUGCCCUCCAGGAAUUCCUCUCCUCCACCUUGCUACUCUCGUGGAUCUGGAGGAGCGCGGGUCGUUCACAGCCGCUUUUCACCCCCAAAAAUCCUGGGCUGUAGCUGCAUCUUCCCAUCUUGGUCAGAAGGAGAGAAGGGCCGGCAGAUCUGGGUUGGCCCCGACGGUUAUGCUGCAAACGUAUCGUCGGGAGUCACAACUACCGAUGGAUCCACCUCAGUUGUGUACGUGAGUUCCCCAUCUUCUUAUUCUCUUUCCCAUGCCCUCUACAAUUGAAUAAGGAGCACCUACUUGCGCAUUGCUUCCGUUUUUUAUUAUUAUGUUUCAUAUCCUCUUGGUACAUUCCCAGAUGAUUAUCUAGACGACCAUGUAAGCUGGAAUCUUGAGAUAUUCAACACGUACUUGUUAUUAAUUUUCUACAAAUUUGUCAAGUUAUUGGAGGAAAAUCAAAAUGUAUGUAUGUAGAAAUAUAUGUUUAGUACAUUAUUCCCCUGGCUUCUAUAGAUGUACGAACAUGUAUGCUUAUUUGAAAAUCUUUUGAGCAAUAUGCCUAUUUACUUUCAGCUAUUCGGCAGCAGGUAAUAUACAAAUCAAUUUUUUGCUGGAUAUUUCUCUGUUUUUAUGGUAAAGCUUACAAGCUAUGUCAUCAAUGAAUAUUGCGUUUUGCACUAUAGAGGCCAGUUCAACCAGCGGGUGAAUCACUCAAUGAUGGCGCAAGCAUUGCCUUAGAGGUUAUAAUGGUUUGUGCAAGAAGAAGUAUCAUGCAUGCUUCAAGACUUUGAUUGGCGGCUUAUAUUCUGUAAAAAAAAGAAUCUUGGAAAAACAUUUUGAAGUGAUUCUUACUGGAAAUAUGCAAAGCAUUUAUCCCAAGUGUAGUUAUUUCAUGUUUCUAAAAAAUAUUCCACUAUUGCCUCUUAUGCAGGUUUAUCUGAAUGGAGCAUGAUAAUUUGUUUAAGAUCUAUUAGGUAUCCUUGAAGAUUCGAUCCAAGAUUUAUAUUGUGAGACCAAAUAUUCAUGAACAGAAUUAAAGGUGAUUUCUUAAUGGAAACACAUCAAACAUUUCUUUGAGGGAAAAUGAGUCUGAUGGUUCAAUUAUUUUUUACAAUAUUUUCGUGAGAAUUAAGCAAAGUUACUACCAUGUUGUAGAAUUUAGCUGGUUUAUGGAGCAUUUUGGUGGUGGUACUGAAUGAAUUCGCCUGUUUUACUUCCUUCCAAUCAUGCCCCUAUUCCAAAUACAGUUGUCAUGCUAGGUAAAGCAUGUUGUGGCCAAUAACAUAGUUUUGUGUGCCACAAUGAUACAUUUGUGUCUCUAAACUGGAUCUGCUGACUAAAUUGUGCAUCCCUCAUUUACUAACCUAUCUAAGUGAUUUUUUUCUAUGGUUUGUCUGUAUAAUAUGAUACAAUGCUUAUAUGUAUCUCUAGCUGCUGAUGUAAUUACUUCCAAGAACACCUUAGUUGAGCAGUCAUGAGAAUAUGACAUUAUGCCAGAGCCGAGAUCAUCCAUAUGGUCAGUUUUUAGCCGAGACAGGACGAGCGGACCAGCCAGCGUGGGCUCCACCAAUAUUCCCAUGUGUUGUGCCAAGUGCCAACAACUCGACGGACUAGGUUGCUGCCAUUGAAAGCUAGAACCGAAUGAAUCUGAGCCUUUCACUCUUCUCAUUGCACUCAUUAAUGAUAUUUGUAAGACGAAACACAAUUGAGAGAGGAGAGUAGUCACAACACAUUUCGAUUAUUGAAACAAGUGGGGCUUAUAUAGCAGAUGUACAAGGGCAUCAUUGGUGCUAACUGACUCGAUGUUAGUCUAGCUAGAAAUCUCAAAUUACAGAUCAAAGCUAUCAUGCUAAUCCUGUACAGGAUUACGUCUAAGAGACGUUAGUUCAAAUAAAGUAUACAAGUUGCUGUAUAGAUAUUAUGUCUGGUCCCUCCUAUCACAGUUUGGUGCACUAGAGUUGAGCCUUAUGAUGCAAAUGGCAAUGGACUUAUACUAGCAUACAGGGAGAGUUCUAAUUAACAUUCUAUAUCGCCAGAUCGGAGACACCAUCGAGGUAUAUAUGGCGUGCACAUCAUAAUGGGAGAUGAUAUGAGAGCACUGUCCCAAUCAGGACAACCAAGAAGGAUUGCCUGCUUUGUCCAUGCGGGUGUACGGGGAUGACAUAACAUGCGUGAGUACUCGAUGAUCAUAAUUGGUCGGCAGAUUGCAUCCAAACUUUGGCAGAUUCAUGAUACAAUAUGUUGACAUGAGAACUUUGUGGUCAGCUGGCAUCUGUACUAGAUUGAGAUAGUUACUAAAAGAUCUAGAGAAAUCUUACAAAAGAAAAAAUACACAAGACGCAUCUCACCAAAUUAAUCAAAUUCACACAGCGGGAUUUCUGAGACAUAAGCCAAUGUAUUAUGAAAUAGCACUGUACGUGGUAUUACCAUUUAAAAGCCUAUAAAAAUGACUGGAUGGUCUAUCCAUAUUAUAGAUCUUAACUAGACCUUUAAUAUCCAACAUGCUAUUAUUAUCACCAGGAUUUUCUUCACCCGGUUUUUACUUCAUUGGUUGUCAUAUCAAGUCUUUUGUUAUUAUCUUCCUUCAAAGAAUCGUAAACAUCAAUUAUCUCAUCAACUUCUCUCACAAAAUCAGCCCCUUUGCCAUGCCUCUUAGCAAACAGAGACAUCCUUUUCUCUUCAGUGAAUGUCUCCAGUUUUACAAAGCUACAAAGCUACAGAAAGCACUAGAGUAAAAAAGAACCAGUAGUCACACAUACAAAGAAAAAAAGUAGAUGAUGUGUCUUAGUUAAGGUAACUCAGUUCCAUAAUACAUUCUAUGUAGUAUGUACUGCUAGGUCAAAACUCAAUACAAAAGGAUCCCCUCAUAAUUGUUACAGCUCAUAUUUCAAUGCAUAGUCAGCUCUAGGUAAAAAUUUGGUGUUCCACUUUUUUGUUGUUGAUACUUAGCGAUAUAGCACUAUCCUCUCUUUUCAUAACCUAGCUACAUACUUGCACACAAAUAGCAAGGAGAUCACGACUGAGAGAAAGUCUCUGACAACUCCAUCCCCUCAGAAAGAAAGCGAGAAGGCAGAGCGUGAAUGGUCCUCCGUCAUGCUUUCCUUCAUCGAACAACACAAGCAAGAUGGCAUCAACAUCUCAAAAAAACAGAGGGAAAAACAAAAAUAAGGCCGCACAGGACUUCGAAGGACAGAGACUAGGAACAGCAAAGCACGGCAGACCUCCUAAGGUUGGACUUAUGCGCCAGGAGUCAGAUUCAACCGCCGCUUCAUGCGUAGGGUAACAGGUAGCCCUUUUGACCCACUCAAGAUCCCCAAAUCGUUACAUAAGCAUAUCACUGGGAAUUUCCCUCGGAAAAUUGGGAACACGGUUGGAAAGUUUGUCCGGUGGAGUGGACGAACUGCAUCUUCAUAGAACAUGGGUGGGAUGAUUUUGUGGAUGGGAUGAUUUCGUGGAAGCCAACGACAUUCCAGUAUGUGAUAUAUUCAUCUUUAACUACACCGUGAAUUGAACACUCAAAGGAGCCAUUCUCUGGUACAAUGGAUGCGAGAAGAUCCAAAACACAAUACCAAGAGAUCAGCCUGAAAUAACCUUUUAUCUAUCUGUACAUCAAUCUAUGCUACUGCUUAAUUAAGUUCUAUAUAUGUAAUAUUUCUUCUGUAUUGCCCUAUAAAACCACCAACUGAUGAUCAAUAGGAAGUACCAGUUAUUAUUACCAGACUGAGUUUCUAUUCCUUUCUAAUACCCGCUUAUGUACUCUAUCCUCAAGAUCAACUU
Lolium perenne is the source of this 5870-nucleotide non-coding RNA. NCBI's taxonomy places the organism in Eukaryota, Viridiplantae, Streptophyta, Magnoliopsida, Poales, Poaceae. The record is from RefSeq and is a predicted model, not a curated record.